AACGAACGCUGGCGGCAGGCUUAACACAUGCAAGUCGAACGCAUCCUUCGGGGUGAGUGGCAGACGGGUGAGUAACGCGUGGGAACGUGCCCUUCAGUUCGGGAUAACCCAGGGAAACUUGGGCUAAUACCGGAUACGUGCGAGAGCAGAAAGAUUUAUCGCUGAAGGAUCGGCCCGCGUCUGAUUAGCUAGUUGGUGGGGUAAUGGCCCACCAAGGCGACGAUCAGUAGCUGGUCUGAGAGGAUGAUCAGCCACACUGGGACUGAGACACGGCCCAGACUCCUACGUGAGGCAGCAGUGGGAAUAUUGGACAAUGGGCGCAAGCCUGAUCCAGCCAUGCCGCGUGAGUGAUGAAGGCCUUAGGGUUGUAAAGCUCUUUCAGUGGGGACGAUAAUGACGGUACCCGCAGAAGAAGCCCCGGCUAACUUCGUGCCAGCAGCCGCCGUAA
Molecule: ribosomal RNA, 448 nt
Filed under: uncultured bacterium
Lineage: Bacteria
Description: partial 16S ribosomal RNA
Rfam family: Bacterial small subunit ribosomal RNA
Source: RNAcentral